AUUGAACGCUGGCGGCGUGCCUAACACACGCAAGUCGAGCGGUAACAGGUGUAGCAAUACAUGCUGACGAGCGGCGAACGGGUGAGUAAUGCUUCGGAAUCUGCCCAUGUAGUAGGGAAUAACCAGCCGAAAGGUUGGCUAAUACCGCAUACGACCCUUGCCCACAAGGCAAAGGUGAAAGCAGGGGAUCGCAAGACCUUGCGCUAUUGGAUGAGCCGAAGUCGGAUUAGCUAGUUGGUAGGGUAACGGCCUACCAAGGCGACGAUCCGUAGCUGGUCUGAGAGGACGACCAGCCACACUGGGACUGAGACACGGCCCAGACUCCUACGGGAGGCAGCAGUGGGGAAUAUUGGACAAUGGGGCAACCCUGAUCCAGCGACGCCGCGUGUGUGAAGAAGGCCUGCGGGUUGUAAAG
RNAcentral lists this ribosomal RNA (415 nucleotides) under uncultured bacterium. RNAcentral's name for it is "bacterial SSU rRNA". It matches the Rfam family "Bacterial small subunit ribosomal RNA", at positions 30 to 430 of the family's 1533-position model. The record is from RNAcentral.